UACGAAGGGGGCUAGCGUUGCUCGGAAUUACUGGGCGUAAAGGGAGCGUAGGCGGGUCGUCAAGUUGGGGGUGAAAGCCCAGGGCUCAACCUUGGAACUGCCUUCAAAACUGACGAUCUAGAGUAUGGAAGAGGUAAGUGGAACUCCGAGUGUAGAGGUGAAAUUCGUAGAUAUUCGGAAGAACACCGGUGGCGAAGGCGGCCAUCUGGCUCGGUACUGACGCUCAGGUUCGAAAGCGUGGGGAGCAAACAGG
Molecule: ribosomal RNA, 253 nt
Filed under: uncultured prokaryote
Description: partial 16S ribosomal RNA
Rfam family: Bacterial small subunit ribosomal RNA
Source: RNAcentral